CUCUCUGGCCUCCAGGGCCUUGUACAUGGUAGGCUUUCACCCCUCGGUUGCUUAGCCGGUGAAGGCCUACUGUGUACCAGGCCCUGUGCCAGACUUCAAGUGGACGGA
Molecule: microRNA precursor, 108 nt
Organism: Dasypus novemcinctus (nine-banded armadillo)
Lineage: Eukaryota; Metazoa; Chordata; Mammalia; Cingulata; Dasypodidae
Source: Ensembl